ACGAACGCUGGCGGCAGGCCUAACACAUGCAAGUCGAACGCCCCGCAAGGGGAGUGGCAGACGGGUGAGUAACGCGUGGGAACAUGCCUUUCGGUUCGGAAUAGUCCCGGGAAACUGGGGUUAAUACCGGAUACGUCCUUCGGGAGAAAGAUUUAUCGCCGAGAGAUUGGCCCGCGUCUGAUUAGCUUGUUGGCGGGGUAAUGGCCCACCAAGGCGACGAUCAGUAGCUGGUCUGAGAGGAUGAUCAGCCACACUGGGACUGAGACACGGCCCAGACUCCUACGGGAGGCAGCAGUGGGGAAUAUUGGACAAUGGGCGCAAGCCUGAUCCAGCCAUGCCGCGUGAGUGAUGAAGGCCCUAGGGUUGUAAAGCUCUUUCGACGGGGACGAUAAUGACGGUACCCGUAGAAGAAGCCCCGGCUAACUUCGU
This 429-nucleotide ribosomal RNA is filed under the name uncultured bacterium. RNAcentral's name for it is "bacterial SSU rRNA". It matches the Rfam family "Bacterial small subunit ribosomal RNA", at positions 29 to 506 of the family's 1533-position model. The record is from RNAcentral.